GACGAACGCUGGCGGCGUGCUUAACACAUGCAAGUCGAGCGGUAAGGCCCUUUCGGGGGUACACGAGCGGCGAACGGGUGAGUAACACGUGGGUGACCUGCCCUCAGCUCUGGGAUAAGCCUGGGAAACCGGGUCUAAUACCGGAUAUGACUCCAUGACGCAUGUUGUGGGGUGGAAAGCCUUGUGCGGCUGAGGAUGGGGCCCGCGGCCUAUCAGCUUGUUGGUGGGGUGANGGCCUACCAAGGCGACGACGGGUAGCCGGCCUGAGAGGGCGACCGGCCACACUGGGACUGAGACACCGGCCCAGACUCCUACGGGAGGCAGCAGUGGGGAAUCUUGCGCAAUGGGCGAAAGCCUGACGCAGCGACGCCGCGUGAGGGAUGACGGCC
This 389-nucleotide ribosomal RNA is filed under the name uncultured bacterium. Its description in RNAcentral is "bacterial SSU rRNA". It matches the Rfam family "Bacterial small subunit ribosomal RNA", at positions 28 to 416 of the family's 1533-position model. The record is from RNAcentral.